GACGAACGCUGGCGGCGUGCUUAACACAUGCAAGUCGAACGGAAAGGCCCCUUUGGGGGUACUCGAGUGGCGAACGGGUGAGUAACACGUGAGUAACCUGCCCUUGACUUCGGGAUAACUUCAGGAAACUGGGGCUAAUACCGGCAAGGAAUCCUUGCUGCAUGGUGGGGGUUGGAAAGCUUCGGCGGUUUUGGAUGGACUCGCGGCUUAUCAGCUUGUUGGUGGGGUAGUGGCUUACCAAGGCUUUGACGGGUAGGCGGCCUGAGAGAGCGACCGGCCACAUUGGGACUGAGAUACGGCCCAGACUCCUACGGGAGGCAGCAUGGGGGAAUAUUGCACAAUGGGCGGAAGCCUGAUGCAGCAACGCCGCGUGCGGGAUGACGGCCUUCGGGUUGUAAACCGCUUUCAGCAGGGGCGAAGCUUGUGGUGACGGUACCUGCAGAAGAAGCACCGGCUAACUACGUG
This 465-nucleotide ribosomal RNA is filed under the name uncultured bacterium. RNAcentral describes it as "partial 16S ribosomal RNA". It matches the Rfam family "Bacterial small subunit ribosomal RNA", at positions 28 to 507 of the family's 1533-position model. The record is from RNAcentral.